AGAGUUUGAUCCUGGCUCAGGACGAACGCUGGCGGUGUGCUUCACACAUGCAAGUCGAACGGAGUAGCAAUACUCAGUGGCGGACGGGUGAGUAACACGUGGGAAUCUACCAUUAGGUGGGGAAUAACAGGCCGAAAGGACUGCUAAUGCCGCAUAUGUAGGCAUCUCGACAGAGAUGUUUAUGAAAGGAGUAAUCCGCCUUUUGAUGAGCCCGCGUCCGAUUAGCUAGUUGGUAGGGUAAAAGCCUACCAAGGCGACGAUCGGUAGGUGGUCUGAGAGGAUGAUCACCCACAAUGGGACUGAGACACGGCCCAUACUCCUACGGGAGGCAGCAGUGGGGAAUUUUACGCAAUGGGGGAAACCCUGACGUAGCGACACCGCGUGAGCGAAGAAGCCCUUUGGGGUGUAAAGCUCUGUCAACAGGAACGAAACAAAUGACGGUACCUGUGGAGGAAGCAUCGGCUAACUACGUGCCAGCAGCCGCGGUAAGACGUAGGAUGCAAGCGUUGUCCGGAUUUAUUGGGCGUAAAGAGUUCGUAGGCGGUUUGUUAAGUCUGAUGUUAAAGACCGGGGCUCAACCUCGGAAAUGCAUUGGAUACUGGCAGACUGGAGUGCAGUAGAGGCUAGUGGAAUUCCCAGUGUAGCGGUGAAAUGCGUAG
Molecule: ribosomal RNA, 659 nt
Filed under: uncultured bacterium
Lineage: Bacteria
Description: bacterial SSU rRNA
Rfam family: Bacterial small subunit ribosomal RNA
Source: RNAcentral